Molecule: ribosomal RNA, 253 nt
Filed under: uncultured bacterium
Lineage: Bacteria
Description: partial 16S ribosomal RNA
Rfam family: Bacterial small subunit ribosomal RNA
Source: RNAcentral
UACGUAGGGUGCAAGCGUUAAUCGGAAUUACUGGGCGUAAAGCGUGCGCAGGCGGUUUUGUAAGUCUGACGUGAAAUCCCCGGGCUCAACCUGGGAAUUGCGAUGGAGACUGCAAGGCUAGAAUCUGGCAGAGGGGGGUAGAAUUCCACGUGUAGCAGUGAAAUGCGUAGAGAUGUGGAGGAAAACCGAUGGCGAAGGCAGCCCCCUGGGUCAAGAUUGACGCUCAUGCACGAAAGCGUGGGGAGCAAACAGG